Molecule: unclassified non-coding RNA, 391 nt
Filed under: Bombus terrestris (buff-tailed bumblebee)
Lineage: Eukaryota; Metazoa; Arthropoda; Insecta; Hymenoptera; Apidae
Description: misc RNA ENSBTSG00005035176.1
Source: RNAcentral
UCUAUACAGAUUACUUCUGUAACAAGUCUCAGGAGAAAUAUCUUCAUGAAGUGUCCUUCGAUGGUUUUUGGUCCAAAAAUACUCGAGAGAUAUGGAAUCAUCAAAAGCUUUUAUCGUUGGCAUUUCCACGACAUUGUGGCACUCGUAAAAAGGACACGCGCGUCUCGUCGCGUCAGGAGUUUUUUUAUUGUCUCGAGCUGUCCUAGCGAGUUGCGAAUUGCGAUUGCGUUGCAAAACCUUGCAGUGGAACAUCGGUUCUUUACGAUAAGUGACACUAGAUAGCUCGAAAACAAAAGAGAACAUAGCCAACCGAAGGAAGAAGAACCAGACGAAAUCGCGAACGAGCUGAAUGUACAGUCGGCGAUAAAAAUAAAUGGACACGCUGGACAAA